GACGAACGCUGGCGGCGUGCUUAACACAUGCAAGUCGAACGGAAAGGCCCUGCUUUUGUGGGGUGCUCGAGUGGCGAACGGGUGAGUAACACGUGAGUAACCUGCCCUUGACUUUGGGAUAACUUCAGGAAACUGGGGCUAAUACCGGAUAGGAGCUCCUGCUGCAUGGUGGGGGUUGGAAAGUUUCGGCGGUUGGGGAUGGACUCGCGGCUUAUCAGCUUGUUGGUGGGGUAGUGGCUUACCAAGGCUUUGACGGGUAGCCGGCCUGAGAGGGUGACCGGCCACAUUGGGACUGAGAUACGGCCCAGACUCCUACGGGAGGCAGCAGUGGGAAAUAUUGCACAAUGGGCGGAAGCCUGAUGCAGCAACGCCGCGUGCGGGAUGACGGCCUUCGGGUUGUAAACCGCUUUCGCCUGUGACGAAGAGUGAGUGACGGUAAUGGGUAAAGAAGCACCGGCUAACUACGUG
RNAcentral lists this ribosomal RNA (468 nucleotides) under uncultured bacterium. RNAcentral describes it as "partial 16S ribosomal RNA". It matches the Rfam family "Bacterial small subunit ribosomal RNA", at positions 28 to 507 of the family's 1533-position model. The record is from RNAcentral.